RNAcentral lists this ribosomal RNA (441 nucleotides) under Selenomonas sputigena. RNAcentral describes it as "bacterial SSU rRNA". It matches the Rfam family "Bacterial small subunit ribosomal RNA", at positions 28 to 454 of the family's 1533-position model. The record is from RNAcentral. Lineage: Bacteria; Bacillati; Bacillota; Negativicutes; Selenomonadales; Selenomonadaceae.
GACGAACGCUGGCGGCGUGCUUAACACAUGCAAGUCGAACGGGAACCUUUAUUUCGGUAAAGGUGAGAGUGGCAAACGGGUGAGUAACACGUAGGCAACCUGCCGACAGGAUGGGGACAACAUUCCGAAAGGAAUGCUAAUACCGAAUGGAGUCCGAGGAUGGCAUCAUCCUUGGAUCAAAGAUGGCCUCUGAAUAUGCUAUCGCCUGUCGAUGGGCCUGCGUCUGAUUAGCCAGUUGGCGGGGUAACGGCCCACCAAAGCGACGAUCAGUAGCCGGUCUGAGAGGAUGAACGGCCACAUUGGGACUGAGACACGGCCCAGACUCCUACGGGAGGCAGCAGUGGGGAAUCUUCCACAAUGGGCGAAAGCCUGAUGGAGCAACGCCGCGUGAGUGAAGAAGGUCUUCGGAUCGUAAAGCUCUGUUGCACGGGACGAAAACUG